This 802-nucleotide ribosomal RNA is filed under the name Pediococcus damnosus. RNAcentral's name for it is "bacterial SSU rRNA". It matches the Rfam family "Bacterial small subunit ribosomal RNA", at positions 82 to 867 of the family's 1533-position model. Lineage: Bacteria; Bacillati; Bacillota; Bacilli; Lactobacillales; Lactobacillaceae. The record is from RNAcentral.
UAACACGAAGUGAGUGGCGGACGGGUGAGUAACACGUGGGUAACCUGCCCAGAAGCAGGGGAUAACACCUGGAAACAGAUGCUAAUACCGUAUAACAGAGAAAACCGCCUGGUUUUCUUUUAAAAGAUGGCUCUGCUAUCACUUCUGGAUGGACCCGCGGCGCAUUAGCUAGUUGGUGAGGUAACGGCUCACCAAGGCGAUGAUGCGUAGCCGACCUGAGAGGGUAAUCGGCCACAUUGGGACUGAGACACGGCCCAGACUCCUACGGGAGGCAGCAGUAGGGAAUCUUCCACAAUGGACGCAAGUCUGAUGGAGCAACGCCGCGUGAGUGAAGAAGGGUUUCGGCUCGUAAAGCUCUGUUGUUAAAGAAGAACGUGGGUGAGAGUAACUGUUCACCCAGUGACGGUAUUUAACCAGAAAGCCACGGCUAACUACGUGCCAGCAGCCGCGGUAAUACGUAGGUGGCAAGCGUUAUCCGGAUUUAUUGGGCGUAAAGCGAGCGCAGGCGGUCUUUUAAGUCUAAUGUGAAAGCCUUCGGCUCAACCGAAGAAGUGCAUUGGAAACUGGGAGACUUGAGUGCAGAAGAGGACAGUGGAACUCCAUGUGUAGCGGUGAAAUGCGUAGAUAUAUGGAAGAACACCAGUGGCGAAGGCGGCUGUCUGGUCUGUAACUGACGCUGACGCUCGAAAGCAUGGGUAGCGAACAGGAUUAGAUACCCUGGUAGUCCAUGCCGUAAACGAUGAUUACUAAGUGUUGGGAGGGUUUCCGCCCCUUCAGUGCUGCAGCUAACGCAUUUAAGUAA